Molecule: long non-coding RNA, 1090 nt
Organism: Canis lupus familiaris (dog)
Lineage: Eukaryota; Metazoa; Chordata; Mammalia; Carnivora; Canidae
Exons: 3
Source: RefSeq, a predicted model, not a curated record
UGUCGGGGCGGAGCGGAGGGAAAGAUAACCCCGGAGAGAUAGGGAGCCGGAGAGGGAAGCCGAUCUCUGCCGAGAAGGGGCCCCAGGCCGGCCAUUGGAAACUAAGAUCUGGAGAUGGACAGGGCCAAAUGCGAGAAGAAUGGAGAAAGAGCCAGAGACCAAGACAAACAGAAGACACCUGCCAGGAUGCUGGACCAGACCACACAGAGAAGGACAGACGUCACUACCGGAGGGAAAUUCUCCUUGGGGGAGCAGCUACCAGCCCCCACAACACCUCCUUCUCCACUUCCCCAGCCCCUGGUCCUCUCGGAAUUCAGGGGCUUCCUCAUGUCCCCACCCACCCUCUGGGCAAAGCCCUUCCCAACAUCACAUUCCUGGGCCCUAGCAUGGCCCUGAGACCCCAGCCCUGGACACAGGUCUGCUCAGGUGCGCAAGCUACUUCCUGACUCAGCAGACCACUUCUGCUGACCACGGUGACAUGGGAGGAAGGAGAACUCUGAGCUGCCCACAAUUCCUUUUCCUUUCAGUCCUUCUGUGCUCAUCAGAAACCUGAAGGUACGAGGGAAUACGCUACUAAGUGCAGCACUGGUAUUCAGAGGGAAAUAAGCUAAGGAAGGAAUGGGGCUCAAAGAGCCAUCACAAACCUCCAACCUCUUCCUGGAACCCAGCCUUCCCACCAGCAUCUCCAGGAAGAAGGAAGGGAACAAGAACUCCCACACCCUCUUUCCCAUAUCCAGAGGCUAUCAUGAAGUCUGUGUUCCUUGAUCCUCCUCUCCACCACCCCAAAUCCCAGGGAUUCAGCUAUCUGGGUCCCAACAAGAUGAGUCUUUUCAGAGACAAGAACAAGGAAAGAAGAUAACUCCAACACACAGAUAUGGGCAUGUUGGCAGGAGGGCUAUCAUUUAAUGGGCACAGAGUUUCGCUUUUGCAAGAUGAAGAGUUCCAGAGAUGGAUGGUGGGGAGAGUUGCCCAAAACUGAAAAACGUAAUCCCACUGAGCCAUACAAAUAGUUAAGAUGGUACAUUUUAGUCCAUCAGGGUCAAAUUAAAAAAAAAAUUUGUUUACAAAGAUGGUAAAUUGGGGGUGCCUG